RNAcentral lists this ribosomal RNA (335 nucleotides) under uncultured bacterium. Its description in RNAcentral is "partial 16S ribosomal RNA". It matches the Rfam family "Bacterial small subunit ribosomal RNA", at positions 338 to 690 of the family's 1533-position model. The record is from RNAcentral.
CCUACGGGAGGCUGCAGUAGGGAAUAUUGCUCAAUGGGGGAAACCCUGAAGCAGCAACGCCGCGUGGAGGAUGAAGGUGUUCGGAGUGUAAACUCCUGUUGUUAGAGAAGAGAAUGACGGUAGCUAACGAAUAAGAACCGGCGAACGCCGUGCCAGCAGCCGCGGGAAUACGGAGGGUGCAAGCGUUACUCGGAAUCACUGGGCGGAAAGAGCGCGUAGGCGGGCUAGCAAGUCAGAUGUGAAAUCCUAGGGCUUAACCCUAGAACUGCCUUUGAAACUGUUAUUCUAGAGUAUGGGAGAGGUAGUUGGCAUUCUUGGUGUCGUGGUCACAUCCG